ACUCAAAUGAAUAGACGGGGGUCCGCACAAGUGGUGGAGCAUGUGGUUUAAUUCGACGCUACGCGAAGAACCUUACCUGGGCUUGACAUUCUUAUGAUCGCUUUGUGAAAGCUUAGCUUUCUGCCCGCAAGGGUAGACAUUUGAACAGGUGUUGCAUGGUUGUCGUCAGCUCGUGCCGUGAGGUGUUGGGUUUAGUCCUCUAACGAGCGCAACCCCUAUUGCCAGUUGCCAUCGGGUAAUGCCGGGAACUCUGGCGAGACUGCCCGGGAUAACCGGGAGGAAGGCGGGGAUGACGUCAAAUCAUCAUGGCCCUUAUGUCCAGGGCUACACACGUGCUACAAUGGCAGAUACAAAGGGUCGCAAAAUCGCGAGAUGGAGCCAAUCCCAAAAAGUCUGCCUCAGUUCGGAUUGCAGUCUGCAACUCGACUGCAUGAAGCUGGAAUCACUAGUAAUCGCGGGUCAGCUACACCGCGGUGAAUACGUUCCCGGGCCUUGUACACACCGCCCGU
This 509-nucleotide ribosomal RNA is filed under the name uncultured bacterium. RNAcentral describes it as "bacterial SSU rRNA". It matches the Rfam family "Bacterial small subunit ribosomal RNA", at positions 899 to 1397 of the family's 1533-position model. The record is from RNAcentral.